Molecule: ribosomal RNA, 253 nt
Filed under: uncultured bacterium
Lineage: Bacteria
Description: partial 16S ribosomal RNA
Rfam family: Bacterial small subunit ribosomal RNA
Source: RNAcentral
UACGUAGGGAGCAAGCGUUGUCCGGAAUCAUUGGGCGUAAAGCGCGCGUAGGCGGCCCUGUAAGUCCGUUGUGAAAGUCAAAGGCUCAACCUUUGAAAGCCGAUGGAUACUGCAGGGCUAGAGUUCGGAAGAGGCGAGUGGAAUUCCUGGUGUAGCGGUGGAAUGCGCAGAUAUCAGGAGGAACACCGAUAGCGAAGGCAGCUCGCUGGGACGGUACUGACGCUGAGGCGCGAAAGCGUGGGGAGCGAACAGG